This 279-nucleotide ribosomal RNA is filed under the name uncultured bacterium. RNAcentral's name for it is "partial 16S ribosomal RNA". It matches the Rfam family "Bacterial small subunit ribosomal RNA", at positions 506 to 784 of the family's 1533-position model. The record is from RNAcentral.
UGCCAGCCGCCGCGGUAAUACGAAGGGUGCUAGCGUUGUUCGGAAUUACUGGGCGUAAAGAGCAUGUAGGCGGAUGAAUUAGUCAGAGGUGAAAGCCCCGAGCUCAACUUGGGAACUGCCUUUGAUACUGUUUAUCUAGAGUCCGAGAGAGGUUAGUGGAAUUCCCAGUGUAGAGGUGACAGUCGUAGAUAUUGGGAAGAACACCAGUGUCGAAGGCGGCUAACUGGCUCGGUACUGACGCUGAGAUGCGAACGCUUUGUGCGAAAACAGGAUUCGAUC